AGGGUGUAUGAUAAUUCUGUUAUGUUUUAAAUCCAUUAUCUUAGAAAUCGGAACUUAAAUAUUAGCAAAUGGGACAUAUGAUGGUUGGGAUUUGCUUCAAAAUAAUUCAGUGGAGAGGUAAAGUGGAAGUUUUAGGUGAAAAAAAUUGGCCAUGCAUUGAUUAUUAUUGAAGCCAAAUGGUGGUUAUGUAAGGUUCAUUACACUAUUCUCCCUCCCUUAGUAUAUGUGUGAAAUUUUCUGUAAUAAAAAGGGAAUUCGAAGUAGUUAAGCAAAAGAGAUGAGGCAGUAUGAGAGUGUGGAGCACAGACGAAGUGAGAGCACCAGAAGACACCGAUUCUGAAGAGCAGGGAUAGCUGUGGGCUUGGAGAGAUGCCAAGUAUUUCCUGGAAGACGUGAGGGCAGAGAAGAGAGCAGAGCACUGGGGAAAGAGCAUGAACGUGAGGUCCUUCAAGAGAAGCCCCUCUGGCAGACUUGCAGAACAUCCGCGGUGGAAGGGACUGGGAGGCUAUGCUAUCGACACUCAGCCACCCUCACUGUCCUACUAUGGACUGUUUCCUGUGGGCCUUCUAGAUCCAGGCAUAAAACUGAGGAAAGGGUUCCCUCACCUGUGCGGCACAGGAGGCAUUCUCAGAGAACCAGUUUGCGGCCUGAGGGUAGAAACAUUCCUUCCUCUGUGACUCCUGUUCCACCAGAUACUUCACCCAGGGCAGACAAAUCCCAGGCCUGCCUCUCCACCAGCACCCUCCCGACUCAGACUAGUCCUCUCGUGGUGGACUCACGAUAUGCACAUUCCCUGGGGCGAUCCACCCAUGUGCCAGGAGCUCACAUUCUCAGAAUGAGAUCGGCUUCCAUUCCUCCUGAGCCAAGGACUGGGUGUGGGAAGAGUGAGUUCCCACAAGCCCCAGCCUCCCCUCCUCCCCUUCACUCCCUUGGACCUAUAAUCUUUCAGCCAACAGUGACCAAGCCACUGCUAUGUGCCAGGCACUGUGCAGAAUUCAGGGACACAGUGGUGAACAAUCCUCAGAGAAAAGUCCCAAUCCUCAGAGAAAGUUCAUCCAGGGAGACUCAGACAUUCCACAAUCAUCAAGAAAACAAAAACCUGGGGUGAGUGCUAUAAACAUGUAGGGUGCUAAAAGGGAGGAUAAUAGCGGGACCUAAACUAGAUAGGUUGGAGGUAGUUGUCUGUUAAAUAGAUGAUCUCACUGAAGAAAUGAUAUUCAAGUUGAGAACUAACCAGGUGAAUGGGAAUUAGAGAUUGGGAGAGCUGGGGAGGCAGCAUAAGCAAAGUCCCUGUUAGAAAUUAGAAAGAGGUUGGCAUAUUCUGAAAAAGUGCAGAAGAGUAGGCAAGUGGGUGACUGAGAGAGAGGAGUAGGUUGAAGGUGAAGGAGACUGGAGUUGUAAUGAACAAAGCACAGAGGCCAAGGAGAAGAUCUUGGAUUUCAAGCUGAGGAGUGGCAUCAUCCUGUUUCACUUCGAGAUAGUGCAGGCUACCCUGUGGAGCACAGGACUGUAAACCUAACUAGAGAGGAAGCAGAAAGUAUAGGUAGGAGGAUUUUGUGGUUGUCCAAGUGAGAGAUGAUGGUCACUUGGUCUAGGGCAUGUGGUGGCAGUGGACAUGGAAAGAAGAGGACAGGAUAGAAACGCUGAAACAUAAUGCAGAGGUCCAUGCCUACAAUCUCAGCUACUCUGAAGGCUGAGGCAAGAGGAUCUGAAGUGCAAGGCCAAUCUGAGCAACUUAGCAAGGCCCUGUCUCAAGAAAAAAUAAAAACAUCUGGGGAUAUAGCUCAGUG
This is a long non-coding RNA of Fukomys damarensis (Damara mole-rat), 1790 nucleotides long. The record is from Ensembl. NCBI's taxonomy places the organism in Eukaryota, Metazoa, Chordata, Mammalia, Rodentia, Bathyergidae.